Molecule: ribosomal RNA, 406 nt
Filed under: uncultured bacterium
Lineage: Bacteria
Description: partial 16S ribosomal RNA
Rfam family: Bacterial small subunit ribosomal RNA
Source: RNAcentral
AUUGAACGCUGGCGGCAGGCCUAACACAUGCAAGUCGAACGAGUGGCGGACGGGAGAGUAAUGUCUGGGAAACUGCCCGAUGGAGGGGGAUACCUACUGAAAACGGUACCUAAUACCGCAUCCCAUCGGAUGUGUCCAGAGGGGCUUAGCUAGUAGGUGGUGUAAAGGUACACCGAGGCGACGGUCCCUAGCUGGUCUGAGAGGAUGACCAGCCACACUGGAGCUGAGACACGGUCCAGACUCCUACGGGAGGCAGCAGUGGGGAAUAUUGCACAAUGGGCGCAAGCCUGAUGCAGCCAUGCCGCGUGUAUGAAGAAGGCCUUCGGGUUGUAAAGUACUUUCAGCGGGGAGGCGUUACCCGCAGAAGAAGCACCGGCUAACUCCGUGCCAGCAGCCGCGGUAAUUC